CGCUCUGGUGGUUUAGUGGUAGAGCGUAGGUCUAGGAUGUGGUAGGUCGUGGGUUCGAACCCCAGCCGAGUCA
Molecule: non-coding RNA, 73 nt
Organism: Potamilus streckersoni
Lineage: Eukaryota; Metazoa; Mollusca; Bivalvia; Unionida; Unionidae
Source: the annotation of a GenBank genome assembly